RNAcentral lists this ribosomal RNA (277 nucleotides) under uncultured bacterium. RNAcentral describes it as "partial 16S ribosomal RNA". It matches the Rfam family "Bacterial small subunit ribosomal RNA", at positions 28 to 305 of the family's 1533-position model. The record is from RNAcentral.
GACGAACGCUGGCGGCGUGCUUAACACAUGCAAGUCGAGCGGUAAGGCCCUGUUUUUGGGGUACACGAGCGGCGAACGGGUGAGUAACACGUGGGUGACCUGCCUCACACUCUGGGAUAAGCUUGGGAAACUGGGUCUAAUACCGGAUAGGACCUGUCAUCGCAUGGUGGUGGGUGGAAAGCUUUUGUGGUGUGGGAUGGGCCUGCGGUCUAUCAGCUUGUUGGUGGGGUGAUGGCCUACCAAGGCGACGACGGGUAGCCGGCCUGAGAGGGCGACC